AACCAUUUAGACAAGGACGUGACCCUGUCUACAGCAGAACAGAAAGCACAGAAAUCUGGGUUGCAAAUGACUCCACGGAGCUUCCAUGGCGGGGCUGGACUACCUACCUCCAGGCUUUUCAUGUGAGAGAGCACUAUGUUUCCAUCUGGCUUAAGCCACUGUCAUUUUUAUGUUUCCUGUGAUAGGCAAUGGAGCAAAGUCCUAAGUGACCCAGAAUUCAAACAUCUCAAGAACAAAAGCGCCUCAAAGGGCAGACAUCUCAUCUACUCAUCUUGUAUCUACACCUCCUAAUGCAACAUCCGGCACUAGGUGGCAGCUCAGGAAAUAUGUUCUGAUCUCAACUGGAUUUUUCUCACUGCAAUGGAGUAAACAGGGUUGAAUGCCUCAAAAUGUCUUGGUUUGCUCUUCAUGCCAGCUGUAAGUUGAAGACUGAAACAAAAUUUUCUAGCCAUAUUUUUGUUUUCCUGGAGAUGGAAAGCAAACAGCAGAUGAGUCAUCCGAAGAGAAUAUCCACUAUGAGAAACAAUUUUUGGACGUUUCACACCUGAAGUCCCUCAUCUGUAAAAGAUAACUUGGCCCUUAGCAACGUUUGAGGUCUCCUCUGGCUCUAAUAUUUUAUAAACCCAUUGUUGAGUAUAAAUGCACAGACCUGGACACAGAGAACUCACUGUGAAUAGAUGGCUCCUCCAGGGAUUGGCAACAUGACCGGCCUUACCUAACCUUCAAAUAAAUUAUUUACAAGGAGUGUUUAAUAAAAUCUUGAAGUCAUCAGCUGACUGAACACUGUAGGAUAAUAAAAUGCCAAGUGAAGUAAGAUACGCUUCCUAGACUCCAGCCAGGCUGGCCUGCUCUAAAAACCCCUGACCUUGCCACACUCCUUCCUGUUACUGGGCAUCUAUCUGCGUUUGCUGUUUCUUCUGUCUCAAAUGUUCCUUCCUUCCCUCUUUACCGUGACCUCAGCCCAAGAGUCACUUCCUUAUAAAAAUCUUCCAUCUUUCCCUAACUGGAUAGAAUCACCCUAUUCUAGGUUCUCAUUCACUGCAUUGUAUUUCUCCUCUUCAUAGCACUAGUCAUGGUUGCUACUUUUUAUUGGUAUAAUCAUUUGAUUGACAUCUUUCUCCCUCACUGGAUCAUACCCUCCACUGGCGAGUAUUUUUGUUUUUGCUCAUACCAUUACAUCCAUAUCCUUGGCAGAAGGGUGACGCUCAACAAAUACUUGUUAAAAGAUCUCCAGAGGCCAUGCAAGGGUGCAGAACAGUGGCUGAUGAGUUUCACUACGGGAAAAGGGAAGACCCCAUUUGAGGGAAAUGCUGAGCUACUCUAAGAAGCUGGAAAGCUCUGAGCUCUCCAUCAUAUCCUUGAAGAAGGAUCUUGGAAGUCAGGAAUGGUGGUCACUUUCUGGUGAGAGUUGAAGAGCAGUCACUGAAUGAGGCCACCAUGGCACAGCAAGGCAUGACAAGCUAAGUAAGAGAAGAGACAAGCACAUGACUAAAAAGCUCAA
This 1501-nucleotide long non-coding RNA is filed under the name Homo sapiens (human). RNAcentral's name for it is "HSALNT0377400". Lineage: Eukaryota; Metazoa; Chordata; Mammalia; Primates; Hominidae. The record is from RNAcentral.